RNAcentral lists this transfer RNA (85 nucleotides) under Clostridiales bacterium. RNAcentral's name for it is "tRNA-Tyr". It matches the Rfam family "tRNA". From Rfam's summary of the family: Transfer RNA (tRNA) molecules are approximately 80 nucleotides in length. RNAcentral also lists the same sequence under 2 other names. The record is from RNAcentral. Lineage: Bacteria; Bacillati; Bacillota; Clostridia; Eubacteriales.
GGGGGAAUUCCCGAGCGGUCAAAGGGGGCAGACUGUAAAUCUGUUGCCACAGGCUUCGGUGGUUCGAAUCCACCUUCCCCCACCA